UCUCGAUUGGUCUAGUGGUCAGGAUACCUGCUUGUCAUCUACCAAAGACAAGUCGCAGGUGGCCGGGGUUCGAUUCCCCGAUCGAGAG
Molecule: non-coding RNA, 88 nt
Organism: Hypoxylon sp. CO27-5
Lineage: Eukaryota; Fungi; Ascomycota; Sordariomycetes; Xylariales; Hypoxylaceae
Source: the annotation of a GenBank genome assembly